UCACGCCGCGUGAGUGAAGAAGGUUUUCGGAUCGUAAAACUCUGUUGUUAGGGAAGAACAAGUGCCGUUCGAAUAGGGCGGCGCCUUGACGGUACCUAACCAGAAAGCCACGGCUAACUACGUGCCAGCAGCCGCGGUAAUACGUAGGUGGCAAGCGUUGUCCGGAAUUAUUGGGCGUAAAGCGCGCGCAGGUGGUUUCUUAAGUCUGAUGUGAAAGCCCACGGCUCAACCGUGGAGGGUCAUUGGAAACUGGGGAACUUGAGUGCAGAAGAGGAAAGUGGAAUUCCAAGUGUAGCGGUGAAAUGCGUAGAUAUAUGGAGGAACACCAGUGGCGAAGGCGACUUUCUGGUCUGUAACUGACACUGAGGCGCGAAAGCGUGGGGAGCAAACAGGAUUAGAUACCCUGAUAGUCCACGCCGUCAACGAUGAGUGCUAAGUGUUAGAGGGUUUCCGCCCUUUAGUGCUGCAGCUAACGCAAUAAGCACUCCGCCUG
This 493-nucleotide ribosomal RNA is filed under the name uncultured bacterium. RNAcentral's name for it is "bacterial SSU rRNA". It matches the Rfam family "Bacterial small subunit ribosomal RNA", at positions 392 to 875 of the family's 1533-position model. The record is from RNAcentral.